RNAcentral lists this long non-coding RNA (801 nucleotides) under Arabidopsis lyrata. RNAcentral's name for it is "long non-coding RNA (ALYR_LNC000825)". The record is from RNAcentral. Lineage: Eukaryota; Viridiplantae; Streptophyta; Magnoliopsida; Brassicales; Brassicaceae.
UUCAUUAAUGCUUCUACACCUAGAGGUCUGGGUUCGAGUCCCAGAUACUGCAAUUUAUUAAUAAAUUUGCAGAUUAUUGGAGGCAAGUGUGCAGGAGAUCUCCAGCGAUGUACAAUUAUAGCCGUUCGCCAGGAUUCCACACAGAGAAGGAAGUGUCCAUGAAGAAAGAGGUGAAGGAGAUGAGCAUGAAGAAGGAGGUGAAGGAGGUGAGCAUGAAGGAGGUGAAGAAGGUGAAAGAGGUCGUGGAUCUAAUAAGGGUCGGAAGGAAUUGUCCGUUGUAGAAUCGUCUAUGUAACAGUUCUCAUAAUUUGUAAUAAAUAAUAAAUUCAGAGGAAAAAAAAAAUGAUUAACUGUUUUUUAAUAUUAUUAGUUCAAAGUUAUUAAAAUUUGUUAAUGAGAGAAAGUCCCACAUCGGAAGUUGGAGAAAUUAUAAGUGAUAUAUAAAGGGUUAGGGUCAAUCCACUCAUUGCCAAUUGGUUUUGAGUUGGAAGCUCAUGUUAAAGCUCAAAUCUAUCAUGGUAUCAGAGCCACCCGAUCGUUGGGCCACCCUGUGGAUGUUGUUCCCACAUAUGCCCACGCUUCAGAUGUUCAUGCCUGAGCGUGAGGGAGGGUGUUAUUGAAGUCCCAUAUCGGGCUACCCCGUGGAUGUUGUUCCCACAUAUGCCCACGCUUCAGAGCCAACGAUGCCUGAGCGUGAGGGGGUGUUAAUGAGAGAAAGUCCCACAUCGGAAGUUGGAGAAAUUAUCAAGUGAUAUAUAAAGGGUUAGGGCCAAUCCACUCAUUGCCAAUUAGUUUUGAGUU